This 1051-nucleotide long non-coding RNA is filed under the name Bemisia tabaci. RNAcentral describes it as "lncRNA ENSSWEETPG013474". The record is from RNAcentral. Lineage: Eukaryota; Metazoa; Arthropoda; Insecta; Hemiptera; Aleyrodidae.
CGCAUAAACAGCCACAUAUUGUAGGAUGCUAAGAACCAAAAUUCGCGUUUUUGGUUUUGAUGUUUUCAUAAUUGAGUAGUUCUUUCGAAUAACCACGUAAACUAAUAAUUUAAAACGCUCCUAAGAUUAUAAAUUUAAUUUUUCUUGGAGAGAAAAUGUAAGCCAUAGCUAUGAUUUUUGCAAAACAUAUUUUCCAUAAUUUUGCUAAAAUUGCGGUGAAAAACGAUGUGUGCGUGUGUAUUUCAAGAUGAAGAAAUCAAACCCUACAAAAAGAUUGGAAAUCUCGGCAGCAGUGUAAUGGUUUCAUAAGUGUUUAUACAAAAAAACGUACCAGUCUUCAUGACAUCCAAUUGAAGGGUAAAACAGUAAACUAAUUUCUUUAUUUUCAGAUGAAUUUGCCUGGUACAGCUAUGGACCCGAGAAAACCUUCAACGCUACGGCUCAGAGAUUUCACCCUUAUACAAUUUAAGCGCCAUCACAACCAAGAUCUCUUUCCACUACAGUUACAAUGAUUACGCAUCACAUCCAACGGAUGUGCUGAGACUAGCAAAAAUUGUGCCAAACGUCGUUGGAAUGUAUCCGAUUAGAUUCAAGCAAUUCAACCACGUCGAUUACCUGUGGGCUACCGAUAGUAAAAACUUUUUAUGGACGACAUUAUCACGAUGAUCCAAAAACACUCAAAACCCUCAAAAGACAGCCUUUCAUCAUCAGAAACCGCCUCAUCAUCCUCCCCCAACGACAUCAUUCGGCGGCGAUGAGAAAGUUUGAGUUAUCUGUGACUAUAUUCUAAAUCACCCAAUUGUGUUUCGAUCGCGUCACCAUUAUUAUGUAUGUGUGGGUAGACUAUCCAAAUUGUACAGGAUAGCACCAGUGGCGAAGCGAGAAUGAUCAAUUAUCGAUAUUUUCCAUUUGAAGCUAUGGUAUAGGAUCGAUUAUUAAGGCGUUCGUUGCAAACACCUUUUUUAUCGAUACGUUUCCACAGGUUUAAUGGCAGAUCAAUCAAUAUAUCGCAAAGCACGCCUCGCCUCUGACCAGCACCAGGCAUGCGGUG